AAUAGAUACCCCGGUAGUCCACGCCGUAAACGAUGGAUGCUAGUUUUUACCCAUAUCGACCUGGGUAGAAACGAAGUUAACGCGUUAAGCAUCCCGCCUGGGGAGUACGAGCGCAAGCUUAAAACUCAAAGGAAUUGACGGGGACCCACACAAGCGGUGGAGCGUGUUGUUUAAUUCGAUGAUAAGCGAAGAACCUUACCCAGGCUUGACAUCCUUGGAAGCACUGCGAAAGCAGAGUGUGCCUUUUGGAACCAAGUGACAGGUGUUGCAUGGCCGUCGUCAGCUCGUGUCGUGAGAUGCUUGGUUAAGUCCAUCAACGAGCGCAACCCUUGUAGUUAGUUGUAUUUUUCUAGCUAGACUGCCCCGGCAACGGGGAGGAAGGAGGGGAUGGAUGUCAGGUCAGUAUUACCCUUACGUCUGGGGCUACAAACACGCUACAAUGGCCGGUACAAAGCGCAGCCAACCCGCGAGGGGGAGCAAAUCGCAUCAAAGCCGGUCUCAGUUCGGAUUGCAGGCUGAAACUCGCCUACAUGAAG
Molecule: ribosomal RNA, 536 nt
Filed under: uncultured bacterium
Lineage: Bacteria
Description: bacterial SSU rRNA
Rfam family: Bacterial small subunit ribosomal RNA
Source: RNAcentral